Molecule: long non-coding RNA, 316 nt
Organism: Brassica oleracea var. oleracea
Lineage: Eukaryota; Viridiplantae; Streptophyta; Magnoliopsida; Brassicales; Brassicaceae
Exons: 3
Source: RefSeq, a predicted model, not a curated record
AGGGUCGAAUGGUUCGUGUUCAAGGCUCUUGAGCUUUGGCAUAUGGGCUAAAGUUCUAAGAUUGAAAGCAGAAGACAGAACUCUUUAGUAGAAGGCAGUAUACAAAGCAUAGACAAAACUGGAGUUGAUUUUGUCGCACAAGAAGAUCAGAAGGUGAUUCUUCCUCAGGGCAUCCAUCCAGUGGCAGGUGUUUGCAGCUUUUGGCACAUUUAAGGGUGGUCGUGCAUGUGAACGUUGUGCCACUGAAUAUGUGUAUAUGUUCAUCUUAGGAACUCGGAGCGAGUAAGUGCCACACCACUUCUAAGAGAAAGAUCUU